GUUGGUGCCGGAACUCUGGCUGUGACCUUGUGCGGUAGCUGGUGUCACAUCACAGACAGAGUUCUAGUUACUAGC
Molecule: microRNA precursor, 75 nt
Filed under: Zootermopsis nevadensis
Lineage: Eukaryota; Metazoa; Arthropoda; Insecta; Blattodea; Termopsidae
Description: mir-11 microRNA precursor family
Rfam family: mir-11 microRNA precursor family
Source: Rfam by way of RNAcentral